UCAGAUUGAACGCUGGCGGCAGGCCUAACACAUGCAAGUCGAGCGGUAACAUUUCUAAGCUUGCUUAGAAGAUGACGAGCGGCGGACGGGUGAGUAAUGCUUGGGGAUCUGCCUGAUGGCGGGGGACAACCACUGGAAACGGUGGCUAAUACCGCAUAAUACCUAUGGGUCAAAGUGUGGGACCUUCGGGCCACACGCCAUCAGAUGAACCCAAGUGAGAUUAGCUGGUUGGUAAGGUAACGGCUUACCAAGGCGACGAUCUCUAGCUGGUCUGAGAGGAUGAUCAGCCACACUGGGACUGAGACACGGCCCAGACUCCUACGGGAGGCAGCAGUGGGGAAUAUUGGACAAUGGGGGCAACCCUGAUCCAGCCAUGCCGCGUGUGUGAAGAAGGCCUUCGGGUUGUAAAGCACUUUCAGUGGUGAGGAAGGUGGUGUCGUUAAUAGCGGCAUCAAUUGACGUUAGCCACAGAAGAAGCACCGGCUAACUCCGUGCCAGCAGCCGCGGUAAUACGGAGGGUGCGAGCGUUAAUCGGAAUUACUGGGCGUAAAGCGCACGUAGGCGGUAUGUUAAGCAAGAUGUGAAAGCCCAGAGCUCAACUCUGGAAUAGCAUUUUGAACUGGCAUGCUAGAGCUUUGGAGAGGGUGGUAGAAUUU
Molecule: ribosomal RNA, 656 nt
Filed under: uncultured bacterium
Lineage: Bacteria
Description: bacterial SSU rRNA
Rfam family: Bacterial small subunit ribosomal RNA
Source: RNAcentral